CAAACGCACAUUCCCCGCACCCCUUUGCAAUCGAAUGGUAAUAUUCCCUGUGAGACCAUGUCUCCUUAGACGUGCAGCAAAUCAGAACAAACACAAUUGUUAGCCAGCGGGCUAUUCAGCCUUUUACCAUCUAGGCCCCAAACGACGCUCAACGCACUGGUACAGGUUGGUAAAAUUACCGCACCUUCUAAACCAGCAGAUACGGGACAUCAAUACAUACAUAUUCCCAUCCAGCCCAGGAUGGCAAAGGCCAAAGGGUGAUGUAGGCAGACUUGUCCCAGCACUACCCGAUGCGUGGCGUUCCCUGGACGAGCAGCUGCUCUGCCAACCGAAGCCUUCUGGAAAAGUUUAGCCGCCUAAAUAGAAGAAACGAACGCACUGUACCGGAGGACCAAGAGAGCAU
RNAcentral lists this small RNA (403 nucleotides) under Histoplasma capsulatum. RNAcentral's name for it is "hypothetical RNA". RNAcentral also lists the same sequence under 1 other name. Lineage: Eukaryota; Fungi; Ascomycota; Eurotiomycetes; Onygenales; Ajellomycetaceae. The record is from RNAcentral.